GGGGAAUAUUGGACAAUGGGGGCAACCCUGAUCCAGCCAUGCCGCGUGAGUGAAGAAGGCCUUAGGGUUGUAAAGCUCUUUCACCCGUGACGAUGAUGACGGUAGCGGGAGAAGAAGCCCCGGCUAAUUCCGUGCCAGCAGCCGCGGUAAUACGGAAGGGGCUAGCGUUGUUCGGAAUUACUGGGCGUAAAGCGCGCGUAGGCGGCCAUGCAAGUGAGGCGUGAAAGGCCUGGGCUCAACCUGGGAACUGCGCUUCAGACUGCACGGCUCGAGUCCGGGAGAGGGUGGUGGAAUUCCCAGUGUAGAGGUGAAAUUCGUAGAUAUUGGGAGGAACACCAGUGGCGAAGGCGGCCACCUGGCCCGGUACUGACGCUCAAGUGCGAAAGCGUGGGGAGCAAAC
RNAcentral lists this ribosomal RNA (400 nucleotides) under uncultured bacterium. Its description in RNAcentral is "bacterial SSU rRNA". It matches the Rfam family "Bacterial small subunit ribosomal RNA", at positions 356 to 773 of the family's 1533-position model. The record is from RNAcentral.